Long non-coding RNA from Canis lupus familiaris (dog), 568 nucleotides. RefSeq lists it as uncharacterized. The record is from RefSeq and is a predicted model, not a curated record. NCBI's taxonomy places the organism in Eukaryota, Metazoa, Chordata, Mammalia, Carnivora, Canidae. The transcript has 3 exons.
AUGAGUAGAAUUAUGUCUACCACCAUAGUCAAUAUAACGGAAUGUUCCAUUAAUACCCUGUAUAGUCAACCAGUUUCCCACACUCAACCAUUCAUCUGUUCUCGAUCUCUAUAUUUUUUUCUUUUUCAGAAUAUGACAUAAAAGGAAUCAGAUAGUAUAUAGCCCUCUGGGUCCAACUCUUUCACUUGAAAAAUGCAUUUGCUGGUCAUUCAUAUUGCUACAUGUACUGAUAAUUCCUUUCUUUUUAUUGCAAGAACUACUUCACUAUAUGGAUGUGCCGGAGUUUUCUUUAGGCGCUCCUUAGAUUCCCCUGCUAGGCAAGAUUGUUGAAAAAUAGAAAAAGAAAUCCCUCGUUUUCUCCUUUAAAUUCAGAAUGUACUCUCCUGUUUAAAAAAGGCCCCAACUAGUAGUUCUUGCUCUAUUUUGUUUUCUUGUGAGUAUAUAUAAGGAAGGAAAGAAGACGGAAUGCAUCUAUUUUUUUUGAAAGAAAAUGAUUUUACAAUACUAUGACUAUUAAAGUGUGUAGGUACUUUUACUCCUAUCAUCAUUGAAUUAAAAUAUCCUCAAC